UGGUUAUCAAAGACUCAUGUAGGAUGGUCCCGAGCUCCAAACCAUGGAGGCAGUGGCCUCUUCUCUGUCUCUGUUGUUGAAACCUGAAACAUUGUGUAUGAAGUCUAAUCUUAUGCAUGCUCAUUUAUCCUUCUUGUUAAUGGAAUUGGGGCUGGCAGAAAAUGUUAAGCACGAAGGAAAGCAGCUGCAUCACCACAAACGCCAAGGAGAAGCACACGAAUGAAUCUGGGUUUCCAUUUUGAAGUUAUAGCUGCUGUACUGAAAGGAAA
Triticum dicoccoides is the source of this 269-nucleotide long non-coding RNA. RefSeq lists it as uncharacterized. The record is from RefSeq and is a predicted model, not a curated record. The transcript is spliced from 3 exons. NCBI's taxonomy places the organism in Eukaryota, Viridiplantae, Streptophyta, Magnoliopsida, Poales, Poaceae.